Molecule: non-coding RNA, 24 nt
Filed under: Arabidopsis thaliana (thale cress)
Lineage: Eukaryota; Viridiplantae; Streptophyta; Magnoliopsida; Brassicales; Brassicaceae
Source: RNAcentral
CGACCUUGUCUGCCAACGAAUCUG